GAUGGGAGCUUGCUCCCUGAUGUUAGCGGCGGACGGGUGAGUAACACGUGGGUAACCUGCCUGUAAGACUGGGAUAACUCCGGGAAACCGGGGCUAAUACCGGAUGCUUGUUUGAACCGCAUGGUUCAAAYAUAAAAGGUGGCUUCGGCUACCACUUACAGAUGGACCCGCGGCGCAUUAGCUAGUUGGUGAGGUAACGGCUCACCAAGGCAACGAUGCGUAGCCGACCUGAGAGGGUGAUCGGCCACACUGGGACUGAGACACGGCCCAGACUCCUACGGGAGGCAGCAGUAGGGAAUCUUCCGCAAUGGACGAAAGUCUGACGGAGCAACGCCGCGUGAGUGAUGAAGGUUUUCGGAUCGUAAAGCUCUGUUGUUAGGGAAGAACAAGUACCGUUCGAAUAGGGCGGUACCUUGACGGUACCUAACCAGAAAGCCACGGCUAACUACGUGCCAGCAGCCGCGGUAAUACGUAGGUGGCAAGCGUUGUCCGGAAUUAUUGGGCGUAAAGGGCUCGCAGGCGGUUUCUUAAGUCUGAUGUGAAAGCCCCCGGCUCAACCGGGGAGGGUCAUUGGAAACUGGGGAACUUGAGUGCAGAAGAGGAAGUGGAAUUCCACGUGUAGCGGGAAAUGCGUAGAGAUGUGGAGGAACACCAGGGCGAAGGCGACUCUCUGGUCUGUAACUGACGCUGAGGAGCGAAAGCGGGGGGAGCGAACAGGAUUAGAUACCCUGGUAGUCCACGCCGUAACGAUGAGUGCUUAGUGUU
Molecule: ribosomal RNA, 765 nt
Filed under: Bacillus inaquosorum
Lineage: Bacteria; Bacillati; Bacillota; Bacilli; Caryophanales; Bacillaceae
Description: bacterial SSU rRNA
Rfam family: Bacterial small subunit ribosomal RNA
Source: RNAcentral